GACGAACGCUGGCGGCGUGCUUAACACAUGCAAGUCGAACGAAAAGAGGGAAAGAGCUUGCUCUUUCCGGAAUUGAGUGGCAAACGGGUGAGUAACACGUAAACAACCUGCCUUCAGGAUGGGGACAACAGACGGAAACGACUGCUAAUACCGAAUAAGUUCCAAGGGCCGCAUGGCCCAUGGAAGAAAAGGUGGCCUCUACCUGUAAGCUAUCGCCUGAAGAGGGGUUUGCGUCUGAUUAGCUGGUUGGGGGGGUAACGGCCCACCAAGGCGACGAUCAGUAGCCGGUCUGAGAGGAUGAACGGCCACACUGGAACUGAGACACGGUCCAGACUCCUACGGGAGGCAGCAGUGGGGAAUCUUCCGCAAUGGGCGAAAGCCUGACGGAGCAACGCCGCGUGAGUGAUGACGGCCUUCGGGUUGUAAAACUCUGUGAUCCGGGACGAAAAGGCAGAGUGCGAAGAACAAACUGCAUUGACGGUACCGGAAAAGCAAGCCACGGCUAACUACGUG
RNAcentral lists this ribosomal RNA (513 nucleotides) under uncultured bacterium. RNAcentral describes it as "partial 16S ribosomal RNA". It matches the Rfam family "Bacterial small subunit ribosomal RNA", at positions 28 to 507 of the family's 1533-position model. The record is from RNAcentral.